GUCUAUGGCCAUGCCACCCUGAACAAGCCCGAUCCUGUCUGAUCUUGGAAGCUAAGCAGGGUCGGGCCUGGUUAGUACUUGGAUGCUUGGAUGAGAGACCACCUAGGAAGACCAGGUGCUGUAGGCA
This 127-nucleotide ribosomal RNA is filed under the name Pteropus alecto (black flying fox). The record is from RNAcentral. Lineage: Eukaryota; Metazoa; Chordata; Mammalia; Chiroptera; Pteropodidae.